This 215-nucleotide unclassified non-coding RNA is filed under the name uncultured fungus. RNAcentral's name for it is "sequence contains ITS1, 5.8S rRNA gene". The record is from RNAcentral. Lineage: Eukaryota; Fungi.
ACACUCAUCCACACACACAAACACACGGGGUGUCGUGCCUGCCCUUCGCGGCAGGUGCGCACCGCGAGUAACACACGGUUUAAGUCGUUUGUUGUUACCCUUGAAACCACAGUUUGAUUUCUCUCUUUGCAUCGCUUUGAAAGGGGCCCGGCACGCGUGCAAGUCGCGCGUGGCGCGGUUUCGUCAAAUCGACACAAACAAAAAAAAGAAAAUCA